UUCUACUUGUCGGAGUGCCUAUUGGCUGAGACCGUUUAUUCGGGAUCCGUUGAACCUGAUCAGAUUAGUAUCUGCGAAGGGAACAAGAGAACAUUGACU
Molecule: non-coding RNA, 99 nt
Filed under: Vibrio aerogenes
Lineage: Bacteria; Pseudomonadati; Pseudomonadota; Gammaproteobacteria; Vibrionales; Vibrionaceae
Also listed under: 1 other name
Description: TPP sequence
Rfam family: TPP riboswitch aptamer (THI element)
About the family: Vitamin B(1) in its active form thiamin pyrophosphate (TPP) is an essential coenzyme that is synthesised by coupling of pyrimidine and thiazole moieties in bacteria. The previously detected thiamin-regulatory element, thi box was extended, resulting in a new, highly conserved RNA secondary structure, the THI element, which is widely distributed in eubacteria and also occurs in some archaea.
Source: RNAcentral